CCACAAUGUCAAUUUCUUUCAUGAUUUACUUGACAUUUGGUCCUCACAUUGUAGGCUAAACAAGUAUAUACAGAGGAUAGGAGAACACACAAUGACCACUAAUAGAUGUGUGAACACACACACACACAUGAAAAUGAGCAUGUCUUCGUGUCAUGCACUCGAAGGCAAAUGAAAACCGCAGAAUACAGGAAAUACAAAUGAAAUACAAGCAGUCUGUUGUUUGCCCGCUUUACUCUGAAUCACUCUCUCCAUCGCUCUCUUAUAUCUUAUUCUGAUUGGCAGGUUAGAAACUUUGGGUUCAGACCACACUGUUUCAGCAGUUUGUGGUUGUAGCUUCAAUAUUUAUACCGUGGUGUACAAACCAUAUUGAGCUUGUUGGAACUAUGGGAAGUUUUUUAAGUUGCAACCGAAGAAAGAAGAAACCUAAAAAAGCUGAUAAUGACCAUCAGAGAGAAACAGCAGACACAAAGACAGAAGAUGUCCUCUAUGCCUCCAUUGACCACGUUAACAUCAGUCCAAACAGACCUGUUCGAGACGUGGAUGACAACGAUUGUGAUUAUGCUGUUGUAAAUCUCCCUCAAAACACAACAGACUCGGCCAAGCACAAAAGCUAUGAGGACAGUACAGAUGAUUAUGUGCUUAUGGGUUGAGCACCGAGAUGCUUCUGUGGCUGAAAUCUGCACAUUCAGUUGGAAUGGACACCUGAGAUACACAAGCACAACUUUAACGGCGUGUUAACUUUGUAUAGGUUGCAAUGAUAUUCAACUUUUUAAAAUGGGUAUUUAUUUGUUUUUCUUUUCUUUUUUUAUAAUUAUUUCAUUUCAGGUCUGUUUUUGUCACUUUAUGUAAGUAAAAUAUGUUUAAGACUUUUGAAUUACUACCUUCAUCUACGUGCACAGUGAAUAAAGUGCAUAUUAUGUCUGUAUUCCUGUAUGUAUAUAUGUGUUCAUGCAAAGAAAGAAGACGUAACUUCUCGCUGUAGUAUUGUUGUUGCUGCUGCCGCC
RNAcentral lists this long non-coding RNA (1004 nucleotides) under Sinocyclocheilus grahami. RNAcentral's name for it is "lncRNA (ENSSGRG00000046290.1)". Lineage: Eukaryota; Metazoa; Chordata; Actinopteri; Cypriniformes; Cyprinidae. The record is from RNAcentral.